RNAcentral lists this unclassified non-coding RNA (455 nucleotides) under Hevea brasiliensis (rubber tree). The record is from RNAcentral. Lineage: Eukaryota; Viridiplantae; Streptophyta; Magnoliopsida; Malpighiales; Euphorbiaceae.
GUGAUCUGAAAGCUAAAAUGGAAUUAAUACUUCAACGUAAAUAACAGGCAAGCCAAGAAUUUUAAUUUGGUAUACUAUUUAGAAAAGUUGGCAAUGCAAUCCUGGAAAAACAAAUUAGGAACUAUUUUGAUUUAAUUCGUAAUUAUGCAAACUCAGAUUUUUCUUGUAAAUUUUCAUAUCUAGGGCUUGCUAUUUAAAAAUAAGGUUCAUUAUUUUUUACGAAUUAGCUUAUUUAGAAAGGUGUUUGCUUAAUGUUUAGUAUUAGUUUAGAAUUUCCUAGUUCAGAACUACUAACCCAAAUAGGAGUUGAAUUACUUAGUCAUUGGGUCUCUAUAGAUGUUGUAAUAUGUAACUGGUUAUAUUCAUGUCUUUCAAUAAUCAAAUUAUGAGUAUUUGAAUUAAUUUGUAGGCUGUGUGCAUUGAGUGAAAUUAGCUCUCUCUCUCUCUCUCUCUCU